GCCUGUUCAUUGGAUGAUGGAAUCUCGCAUUCCGUCAUCUCGCAUUCGGUUCCCUGUGUUGCAUACCCAUCCAGACGGUAUCUUGUUGGCUAGAAUCACCCCGUUUCACCCUACGCUGCGAGUAACAUUGCGGUCGAAGGUGAACCAAAAAGCAUUCAUCGUGUUCCACCCCGUUCGCAUUACAUGCUGCGGGACUUGGCCCACGAUGGCGUGCUCGAAUUCUCGGAUGCGGAACACAAAGUGGGUACGAGGAUUUCGAUCCUCCGUUCACCCUCGAACAAGCGUUCUACGCUCUGUGCGAACGACGUUCUUCCUCGUUCUGGGCUU
Molecule: unclassified non-coding RNA, 327 nt
Filed under: Fraxinus ornus (flowering ash)
Lineage: Eukaryota; Viridiplantae; Streptophyta; Magnoliopsida; Lamiales; Oleaceae
Description: partial external transcribed spacer
Source: RNAcentral